UCGGCGUUUCAAGAGGGGUCCGCGUCCUAUCAGCUAGUUGGUGAGGUAAUGGCUCACCAAGGCUAAGACGGGUAGCUGGCGUGAGAGCGCGGUCAGCCACCAUGGAACUGAGACACGGUCCAUACUCCUACGGGAGGCAGCAAUUAGGAAUUUUGCGCAAUGGGGGCAACCCUGACGCAGCGACACAGCGUGGAGGACGAAGGUCUUCGGAUUGUAAACUCCUUUUAUAUGGGACGAAUAGAUGACGGUACCAUAAGAAUAAGCACCUGCUAACUACGUGCCAGAAGCAUCGGUGAUACGUAGGGUGCGAACGUUAUCCGGAUUUAUUGGGCGUAAAGAGAUGCGUAGGCGUUUUUGUAAGUCUUUAGUUAAAGCCCACGGCUCAACCGUGGAAAAGCUGAGGAUACUGCAGAAAUUGAGACAGGAAGAGGCGAAUAGAAUUCCCAGUGGAGCGGUGAAAUGCGUUGAUAUUGGGAAGAAUAUCAGUGGCGAAGGCGAUU
RNAcentral lists this ribosomal RNA (500 nucleotides) under uncultured bacterium. RNAcentral describes it as "bacterial SSU rRNA". It matches the Rfam family "Bacterial small subunit ribosomal RNA", at positions 212 to 726 of the family's 1533-position model. The record is from RNAcentral.